RNAcentral lists this unclassified non-coding RNA (329 nucleotides) under Hevea brasiliensis (rubber tree). Lineage: Eukaryota; Viridiplantae; Streptophyta; Magnoliopsida; Malpighiales; Euphorbiaceae. The record is from RNAcentral.
GAAACUUGGUUUUUGAAGGGCAUGAAGUUUCAUUCAUCAAAACCCAAAAUCUCAGUACUCAAAAACAAAACAAAACAAAAAAUUACAGAUAAAUGGUUCUUGUAUGUUCUUACCCAACUUAUGAGAAUUAAGAAACUUCCAAGCAAUACUGCUGCAUGUUUUCCUAUCCACUGCUCAGUGCAGUACAUGCCUCCCCAAUUACCUCUUGGGUCUCCUAAGUUUAAUGGGAGCCAUGUUAUGCGGUGGGUAGCACUAGUUAUCGCACUUGCAGAGCAGUGACACAAGAAGAAAGGAUAUGCAAAGGAGAAACCCAAAAAGAAAGUAUUUAG